UGGUGGAGCGAUUUGUCUGGUCAAUUCCGAUAACGAACGAGACUCUAGCCUACUAAAUAGUUCGGGGGACCCCCCGACCAAAAGGGGGCCCCCGGCCUUCAACUUCUUAGAGGGACAGGUGGCGUUUAGCCACACGAGAUUGAGCAAUAACA
Molecule: ribosomal RNA, 152 nt
Filed under: uncultured eukaryote
Lineage: Eukaryota
Description: partial 18S ribosomal RNA
Rfam family: Eukaryotic small subunit ribosomal RNA
Source: RNAcentral